GUUGGAGCAGGGAAACAUCCAAAACAUGCAGGACAGUGGGCCUCGAAGACUGGACUUGAGAACCACUGCUAUAUAAACAAGCUCUGCUUUGUCCACCGGGGGGCGCCAAACCUGACAAAGUGAAAGUUCCUCACUGGAGCUUUAAGCUUGGUUAAAGGAGCUCAGUCACCAAGUGCUGGCAAAGUUACUUAUUCUACUUUAAGUGGAUUUUUUCUUUUAAUCAUGAGAUUGACAUUAAAGCUCCUGUGAGGAGCUCUUUUUAAGUGUCAAAUACAGCGCCCCCUGUUGACCAAACAAUAAACUUUCUCUUUUUCCUGAUAUUUCUUAUUCCUGUGUGAGAAGUGAUGUUGCUAACCAAAAAGAAAAAUUUCCCUUCUUCCGUCAAACUUAUCACCCAUCAUAAAUCUUUGUUCUGGAGAGGAGCUCACAGGAGCUUUUUAUUAUAUGACUAAAAUGUUGAAUUAAGUCCAGAGUCUGGGGUGUCGGUUUAACUCAGCGGAUAAAUCUUGCACCUCAUGUUUGGCUCAGGAAGGACAGACCAGGUUCUGUUUUGACUCUCAGCCUGUUCUCCACUCUUGCUGUCUCCUGUCAUGUCACUGAGUAAGACAUAAAAGCCCCCCAAAUAAACUUAGAAAAUAAAAAAAAUCCAGAGUUUCACUGGAAAUGUGUGGGCAAAGAAAAAAGUAAAAAGUUAUCUACAAAAGGAGAAGUUUGUAGCCUUGUUGUUGAGUUUGAUUCCUCAGAGUAUUGUUGUCUUUUUGACCUCUCUGAUAACCUUUUUUGACAUCGAUCACUUCAGGCUUCAUAUGUUUGUGCUUUAGGAUUAAAAUGAUUCAACACAGAGUUUCAUAAAUGUAGCAACAAAUGUGAUUUUCACCUGUGACAUCUGGAGACAAGUGCAAACCCCCUGAAUGUUGGAUAAUUUCAUCUCCUGCUCAUCGUCUACUCUCUCGACUCGUUUAUUUUCUGGAUGCUGCUGGUAUAACCCACAUUAUUUAUCUCUUUAUUUUUUUGUUGAUAAUUGCUGAAGUUAAAAAAGGGUUGAGGAUUUAGUGAAGUUAUCUUACAGCACUGAGCGUUUGCUAAAGUUAAACCAUUUCAUAACUGAGGGUGAGACAAACACUGAGGAGGCUCUUCUCUUCUUCUCAACAUGUUUGGUUCAAUCAGAGAAAGAGACACACGACUGAUCAGAGGAUUGUUGUACCUGGAGAUCCCAGCAUUAAACAGACUGUUUCAAGGUUUUCUGAAGACACACGCAAAAACAUGAAGACAAGUACGAUCAGAGAGGACUUUAAGGACCAGAUAUUAAAGGCUCAUUCACCUCAGAAAAGUUUGAAUCCCAAGUGCAGAUAUUCCUUCAUUAUUUAUGUUGUUUUUAUUUUGUGAAGUGUAAAUCACUGUACAAAUCCCCCUCACAUUUUUUUUUUAAUUCCCUCUGGUACUUUGAUGUUCUUUUGCUAUUUUUGGGGGAAGGUUUUGUUUUCCCUUCAACCAUCCAUCUACCUCACUGUUUUGUUUUGAUUUCAAUCGAUUUACGUGUACAGAAAAACACAAAACAUCUCAUCUCUGUUGUCCGGCUGUACAGACGAUCUCACUGAGUGCUGUUAAUACGGCCAAAUUCAAACCACAAACCUAAGCAUCCUGGAGGGGGGAGGGGGCAGAAACAUCCUGCUCAAUCUAACAAAUAAAUAUUUCUCUCUUUUUAAACCUUUUUAAACAAAAUCUUUCAGGCUCUUGGAGGUUAUAAUUCCUCCUGCUGCCUCUGUACACGUUUUUGUUGCUGCAGUUUCUGCCUCUAGUGUAUCACCAUCACAUGUAAAUGUGUAUUUUCUCAAAAAAUACAGCAAUUUGCCCAAAUAUGGAUUUAAAGAUGAUUUUAUCGAUUUAAGAAUUAGUUAUGUACCCAGCUUGAAACAGUAGUUCUGCUGAUUCCUUAUUCAGUACUGCCUCCAUGCCCUAGGGCAUUGGUUCUCAAGUUCAGUCUUCGAGGCCCACUGUCCUGCAUGUUUUGGAUUUUUCCCUGCUCCAACACACCUGAUUCAAAUGAUCAGCUCAUUAUCAAGCCAUUACAGAGCUUGAUAACGAGCUGAUCAUUUGAAUCAGGUGUGUUGGAGCAGGGAAACAUCCAAAACAUGCAGGACAGUGGGCCUCGAAGACUGGAGUUGAAGUAUUUAACAGAGCCUGGUGACAUAUAAAGAGAGAUGGGUUAUAGCUGUUCUUUACAUUUAGUUACUGAAGGUGUAAUGAGUGCUGGUGGUCGACUGGGGUGCAUUACAUUGAAAGAUGUUUCUAGUAUUGCCUUGUGUGCACCAAAUGUCAGUACAUUGCCUGACAUGUAGGGGUAGCUAAAUAUUAGGAACAACUUUUGAUGUAAUCGAGUCCUGUACUUUUCCAGCGCCCACUAAGACCUCAGUGAUUCAAGUCCAGUUAUGAUCUUUCUGACCAAAACUCUAAUUAUGGUAUAGUUGUUGUUUUAGACCACACAAGUGGUCUGAUCUGUGCAUUUGAGGCACAAACUUGAGCAACAAGAGGGUGAUGGUGGUAGGAAAAACUGAUUUCAGACUCAUAGUUGACUCUUUUCGUUCAGGUUUGGACCAGAUGAAGGGCUGUGCUGUCCUAAAGUUGGGGGAUGAAUCUGACAUUUAGAGAAUUUUCCUCAGAUUUGGUUGUGUUUCUGAAAAAAAAUACAGCAGCAGCGUUUUUUUUUCAACCGUUUUGAGUCUGGUAUUUGUAAAAAUGUCAAACAGGACAUCAAGUUCCCAUCACGUACUUGUCCAAAGAAGGACCUUAAAGGACCUCUGCUGGUGGCUAACAGCCAAUAAAACUGAGGUGGUUACUUUUACUGGUGAUCUGUUUGUCAAGUUUGAGACAGUCUGGCACUUACGGCGUCACCACACCCACGCUAAGAGUAUUCACUGCAGUGAACCAUAACAUAUGUUGUGUUUGACAGACGACUAAUCUGAUGUUUGACUUCUCUUUUCUUCACCCAGAUGUUUUCCUUUUUACUUCCACUCACACACAGUGAUCAAUAGAUGGUUCUCUUCCUCCCCCAUCAAAGCAGGUUUUAAGUUUAAGGCUUAGGAAGUUCUGGGUUUUGUUUUGGAGUCCUUUAAAAAGAACCAGCUGAUCAGGAUGUGUAUUUCGGUGUUUGUGGUCUGACUUUAGUCUCACUUUUACCACUGGAACACCUCACAGAGCGGACAUAAAAUCGAACAAAUCUCUGUUUUCGUUUAAUUUUUCUUCCUUCUUUUGUUACAUUGAUGGCCAAUUUGUUACCGACUUUUUGAUGUGUGUAAAUUAUUCAUAGCCUUCCAACUUUUAAGUUUCUAUUGAAAUGAUCUCUUAGGCUGAGGUUUCAUUUUGCUUUCUUUUGUACAUGCUGUUGUAAGAAUUUUUCCUGAUUAUCAAUAUAUUCUGAGUACGGGGAAAAAUUAUUGGCUGAAGGAAAAGAGAAUGUCUGUUUCUCUGAUUCUUUUUUUCUACACGAGAUUUAAGAUGAUUAAAAAUGUAUGCAAAC
Molecule: long non-coding RNA, 3517 nt
Filed under: Xyrichtys novacula (pearly razorfish)
Lineage: Eukaryota; Metazoa; Chordata; Actinopteri; Labriformes; Labridae
Source: RNAcentral